This 246-nucleotide ribosomal RNA is filed under the name uncultured bacterium. Its description in RNAcentral is "partial 16S ribosomal RNA". It matches the Rfam family "Bacterial small subunit ribosomal RNA", at positions 796 to 1041 of the family's 1533-position model. The record is from RNAcentral.
CAUGCCGUAAACGUUGGGUGCUAGACGUGGGGGCCUUUCCACGGUUUCCGUGUCGUAGCUAACGCAUUAAGCACCCCGCCUGGGGAGUACGGCCGCAAGGCUAAAACUCAAAGGAAUUGACGGGGACCCGCACAAGCAGCGGAGCAUGUGGUUUAAUUCGAAGCAACGCGAAGAACCUUACCUGGACUUGACAUCCCCUGAAUGACUCGUAAUGGAGGAAGCCCUACGGGGCAGGGAGACAGGUGG